AGAAUCAACGCUGGCGGCGUGCCUAACACAUGCAAGUCGCACGAGAAAGGGUAGCAAUACCUGAGUAAAGUGGCGCACGGGUGAGUAACACGUGAAUUAUCUACCUCCGAGUGGGGAAUAACUGAGAGAAAUCUUAGCUAAUACCGCAUAACACUUACGAGUCAAAGCAGCGAAUGCGCUUUGAGAGGAGUUCGCGGCCGAUUAGUUAGUUGGCGGGGUAAUGGCCCACCAAGACGAUGAUCGGUA
RNAcentral lists this ribosomal RNA (246 nucleotides) under uncultured bacterium. Its description in RNAcentral is "partial small subunit ribosomal RNA". It matches the Rfam family "Bacterial small subunit ribosomal RNA", at positions 26 to 285 of the family's 1533-position model. The record is from RNAcentral.